Molecule: long non-coding RNA, 1580 nt
Organism: Drosophila montana
Lineage: Eukaryota; Metazoa; Arthropoda; Insecta; Diptera; Drosophilidae
Exons: 4
Source: RefSeq, a predicted model, not a curated record
GAUAUCGCAACGCGUAUGUGUGUGUAUGCAUGCACACAAACAUGUAAACAAACUUCAGUGCCCGCUGUAGUGAUCGCUUGCAUUUGCCUAAACUCAACAAUUUAAAACACCGAAACUACAUAACAGCUAAGAUGCGAGGUGAUAUUCAACCGAAACUCACCUCAAGCACCAGGCUAUCAAUUUGCCUUGUUCGUCAUAAGCACCCACCGAAACGUUGUGGACUAUCAACAAUUUGACAAACUCCACGGAGCCAUCGGCACGAUGUGGCCAGAUUUCAUUAACGGUUGGUGCAUCUUCUAUGUCCAAGCUGCGCAGCUCGAUUCCAGCAGGUGGCCUUUAAAAGACAAGUGUUUAUGAAAUACCCGAAAGGUCUACAAUUAACUAACUUACUCCGCUGAAAAUGUAGCAACCAGCUCUUUGCUGGCACUGUACCAAGCUGUCUGCGUUGUUUGUUGCCGUAAGUUCGGCAAUUGCUUGCUGCAGACCUCUACGGCGGGCAGAAUCCGCUCCCCAUAGGCAGCGAACAAAUAUAUAUCCUCGGCUUUGGAUGUCAAACAGAGCAGCGCACUGGUCAAACGAUCCAGGUUCGAGCUCAGCGUAUUAAAAGAGACUUCUUUGUGGACAGAUAAGUGUUUCUACAAAUCACACACAUCGCACAUUACAUACAUAUUUCUUUCUCAAGGUUUCUCUCUUCUGCAAGCUACGUACAAUCAUCAGGAAGGUGCCAUCGUUUUGCCAGUCCCCGUCAAGCGAGUAGCACUUUAUAUCACUUUUGUCACCAUUGGCCAACCAGUUAAUAUGGUUUUUUAUUAAAUAAUAUCCAUUUGAUUCCGUCUUUUUGCCUUCAUAAAGCUCCAGUAAAGUUUUCCACUCGCAUGGCGCUAUCUCAACGAGCGAAUGCGAAUUAUAUUGCAGCUGCGACAUGUCCGACUCGCCGUAAAGCUGAAACACAACUGACUCUAUGAAGCGGGCACAACGGCCCAAUAUACAUCAUGGACAUGCUUAAAUCCCAGCUUAUCAAACAAUUUUCUAGAUAUUUCAUUGUUGAAGACAAUUGUGGCCAGAACCUCGGCACCAGUUGCUGCAAUUUCCUGAGCCAUAAAACGCACCAACAUCGAGGCCAGCCCAAAACGUCUGUGGGGGGGCAGAACAUAUAAAUUACAUAGGCUGCCGUGUGGAGAUCUAUGCAAGAGAGCCAAGUGCUAAUAACCCAGCAGAUGUCCCUCGCUGUUGAAGGCACCCGCGCUGAUAUUAUGCCGUAUGAGGUUUCUUAUCAAGAUCAAAGAGUCAUUCGAGCGAUAAGGCCAAUGAGCAUCCACUUCGGUAGCAUGUUCGCUGUGCAAGGAACCCAAUUUUAUGUCUGAAAUUGGGCUGAUCAAAAUUGUAAAACAAAAAAAUGUACUUAUAAGAAGUGUCUACUUACCUUAAGUCAAGUGGUUUAAUUUCCGAAUGUGGUAAAUGAUAUACAAAUGUUCCUUGAUGUUCCAGUUGGCCUAAGCUCAGACCUCUGCCCAGCCAAUAAUGUUCCACAACGUGUUUAAAGCGAUUUUCAUAGCCGCAAAAUAAAUGUCUCAUAUUCA